Molecule: ribosomal RNA, 253 nt
Filed under: uncultured bacterium
Lineage: Bacteria
Description: partial 16S ribosomal RNA
Rfam family: Bacterial small subunit ribosomal RNA
Source: RNAcentral
UACGUGGGGGGCAAGCGUUGUCCGGAAUCACUGGGCGUAAAGCGCGCGCAGGCGGUCAUUUACGUCUGGGGUGAAAGCCCGGAGCUCAACUCCGGGAUUGCCUUGGAUACGGGAUGACUUGAGGAUCGGAGAGGCAAGGGGAAUUCCACGUGUAGCGGUGAAAUGCGUAGAGAUGUGGAGGAACACCUGUGGCGAAGGCGCCUUGCUGGCCGAUUUCUGACGCUGAGGCGCGAAAGCGUGGGGAGCAAACAGG